GUAGGUGGCAAGCGUUAUCCGGAAUUACUGGGGCGUAAAGGGGCACGCAGGCGGCCAUGAAAGUCUGACGUGAAAGCUCCUGGGCUUAACUGGGGAGAGGUCGUUGGAAACUGGAUGGCUUGAGGCAAUGAGAGGGGUGCGGAAUUCCCGGUGUAGUGGUGGAAUGCGUAGAUAUCGGGAGGAACACCAGUGGCGAAGGCGGCAUCCUAGCAUUGACCUGACGCUCAUGUGCGAAAGCGUGGGGAGCAAACGGGAUUAGAUACCCCGGUAGUCCACGCUGUAAACGAUGAGCACUAGGUGUGGGUAGUGUUAAAGCUAUCUGUGCCGAAGCAAACGCGAUAGGUGCUCCGCCUGGGGAGUACGGCCGCAAAGGCUA
RNAcentral lists this ribosomal RNA (376 nucleotides) under uncultured organism. RNAcentral describes it as "partial 16S ribosomal RNA". It matches the Rfam family "Bacterial small subunit ribosomal RNA", at positions 527 to 896 of the family's 1533-position model. The record is from RNAcentral.